Molecule: long non-coding RNA, 1461 nt
Organism: Mauremys reevesii (Reeves's turtle)
Lineage: Eukaryota; Metazoa; Chordata; Testudines; Geoemydidae
Exons: 4
Source: RefSeq, a predicted model, not a curated record
UAGAGCGUAGGUUAGUGCAGGAUAGGUGGAAGAGUGGUGAGUUCAGCACAGCAAGGAGAAGCUAGGAGGGUUGAGGGAGAAGCCAGAGGCCUGAGAACUAAGGGGCAGCCUGGGGAAACAGUAGCACAUCUGAAGAAGCAGACUAAGCUGCUUAAUACAGGGUCCCUGGGCUGGAGCCCAGAGCAGAGGGAGGGCCUGGGUUCACCUACCACUCCCUGAAGAAGGGGCAUGUAAGCCACCAGAAGGAGGAUUGGGCCCAGGGUGGGGUGGAAGACUGACACCAGAGGCUGAGUGGAAGAAUAGCCCAAGGGAGUGGAAGACUCUCAUAUGUUGGGAUGUCUUGUGAUGUUUCAAUUUAGACCUUUCCUUAACCUGGAAAGGGGUUGAACUUUGUGACUUGGUUGAGGUCUAAGCCACAGAAGACCUGGUGAGAGGCAAGUGGCCUGCAGGAGGUACUAGAGAUGAGGGUCGCCUACAGUAUUGCACCCGGACACAAAGGAAUGCAAUGGGUGCUAUACUGAAUGUAAAGGAGCCAGAUUGCACAAGAGCAAGCAAGUUAACUGAUCCUUAAAAGGACACCAUCAACGUGAAAUCUGGUCAGCUGUAAAAAGGGAAGUUCAAACCGCAAGACUGAGGUCUCCAGGCCUAUGAUGGAAUGUCCCUGCAACUUCGCAUGGAAGAAUUUGAACAAACAUUUACAUGUGGACAGCCUAUUAGACUAUAACUUACAGAAUUGAUUCUGUAAGGACUUGUAUAAAUCAGCAUCCUCACCAUCUCUACCUAAGAACUUUUCAUAUCUACUGGGAGCUGAGGACCAGAGAGAUCCCACAGGAACAGCAGAGCCAGGAAUUGAACCCAAAUCUAGUGUCUUAACUGUGCAAUGAUAAUACAUUCUCCCACAGUCACUAAAGAACAAACUACAAGUAGGCAAAGAAAACUGCUGUCAGUUGGUGUAGGAAGGUAGCAGUAUAUACUAUUUAUUCACUAUAGGCCCAGUCCUGAAAUCCUAACUGCAGCUGUACUGAAGGAUUUUCCCAAGUAGGUCAUGAGUAAAGACUUUGGGAUUUGGAUCUAAAAGAACAAGUGAAGAAUAAUACUUAAACUCACCAACAAUAACAAUAUACUAACAUUUUUAGAAGACAUGAUUUCUGAAUGUAUUUGAGAGAGAUUACAAAGAAUACUUUUGCUGCACCAACUUUUCAGUUCGUGCAUGCCUGAUAUGCAUUAGUUUGGGUUAUGAACUGUGUAUGAUCUUUCUCUAAUUUUGUCCAGGCAAACAAAAGAGCAUUCCACUUUUCCCGGAUUUAGGAUCAUAUUAUCAGAGAUGACAGUCUCAAAAAACAAAAAAAACCCUCCAUCCCCCAGAAGAACACCCCAACAAGGAACAUAUCAGGAACAUUAAAUCAGUAUUGGCACUUACUCUGUGUAUUAAAUAAGCUGGCUUAAUAAAGCAAAACAACU